This 398-nucleotide ribosomal RNA is filed under the name uncultured bacterium. RNAcentral's name for it is "bacterial SSU rRNA". It matches the Rfam family "Bacterial small subunit ribosomal RNA", at positions 361 to 776 of the family's 1533-position model. The record is from RNAcentral.
AUAUUGCACAAUGGGGGAAACCCUGAUGCAGCGACGCCGCGUGAGUGAAGAAGUAUCUCGGUACGUAAAGCUCUAUCAGCAGGGAAGAUAAUGACAGUACCUGACCAAGAAGCCCCGGCUAACUACGUGCCAGCAGCCGCGGUAAUACGUAGGGGGCAAGCGUUAUCCGGAUUUACUGGGUGUAAAGGGAGCGUAGACGGCAGCACAAGUCUGGAGUGAAAUCCCGGGGCUUAACCCCGGAACUGCUUUGGAAACUGUGCGGCUGGAGUGCAGGAGGGGUAAGCGGAAUUCCUAGUGUAGCGGUGAAAUGCGUAGAUAUUAGGAGGAACACCGGUGGCGAAGGCGGCUUACUGGACUGUAACUGACGUUGAGGCUCGAAAGCGUGGGGAGCAAACAGG